CUCCUCAUCCUCCCAGAUGCCCUCGAUAAUGGUUAUUCCCAACUGACUUUCUUCCCAGGGCAGGUGAAUGGGGCUGGGUGGUCUUCCCUUAGACACACCUGGAUUCCAGCACCCAGAUUUAAGAAACAACACCAGGGACUUCCCUGUGGAGUGAAAAGGACACUUUAUACACUCUUAGUGGGAGCAGAAUAUGAUCUGUUCUUUCUGAAUAUGAUUCAGCACUCCUGUUUGAUAGAAUUUUGAAUAAUCCUGUUUAUUCUCUCAAAGAAGUAGAUUGCUGGGUGAGGGACCUGAGAAACUUGGGGGGGUUCCAGAGGCCAGGUGCUGAUUGAAUAGCCCAAGAUACCCUGAAGGCCCCCAGGGAGGUGACAGGACAGGCCUGAGGAGGAUCCAGUCAGCAUGCCUGCAGGGCACUUUCCAGUGAAAAAUCAAGAUGGUCUGCAAGGUGAAAACUCAGAAACAACAAUGCACAAUUCAUUCUUUGGAUACUUCUCAUAACAUCAUUUUACAUAUCUGGUGCUAAAAAAAUGGCAGAUUUACAUAUUUUAUCUAUGCAGUUGGAAACCUGUGUAUCAAGAUCAGAGAAGGCAAAGAAGUGAGGUUGCAAAAGAAUGUGGAGGGAAAUAAAUUUGUAGGAAAAAAAGGAGGAGGAUGACUGGUUGUGUACUGUGUGAUAAGCUGCUUGUGGUACAGUCUAGAGAUUACAUGGCAUAGUUCAGUGACUUAGACUUGUGGUGAUUGUUUUACAGUGAGUGAAUAUUUUGCAACUUUUGAAGCAGAAGCUCUGUAACUAGAGUUGAAGCUGCAUUUAUCCUUUAGAAAUAGGGGUCAAGUUUUCAGGAAUUUGCUUCCAGUGUUCACACCUAUCUCUGGAUGCCUUAAAAGAAGCCCAGGAGGGGGUCCAGCCCCAGCUAGGACCCUAAAACUUCCAGGUGAGCCAGGCCAGAGCUCCUCACUCACACUCUUGGAAGCAACACCUGCAUCUGGCAAGGAGGCUUGCUAAUUGCAGGUGCCAGUUGAGGGGGUGACUAUGUCACCUGUGGGUGUGUGUGGAGGGCACUGGGAGAGGUAGAAAAUCUUGAGAUAAACACAAGAAUCAGCCCCUAAAGUCAGUCCCCCCUUACCUUGAGAACAGAUAACAUCCAUGACUCCAGUGAAAGCCACAGAUAUUUACAGGAGUGUGGAUCUUAGGACUCCAAAAUAAUUUUUAAAAAUCUCUUCUUAGAGUUCAUAUUGUGGCUCAGCAGGUUAAGAACCUCACAUAGUGUCCAUGAGGAUGCAUGUUCAAACCCUGGCCUCAGUGAGUGGGUUAAACCCUGGCAUUGUGGUGAGCUUUGGAGUAGGUCUCAGAUGAGGCUCAAAUCCUGCAUAGCUGAGGCUGUGGCAUGGGCCUGCAGGUGCAGCUCCAAUUUGACCCCCACCCUAGGAACUUCCAUAUGCCACUGGUGUGGCCCUAAACAACAACAACAAAAAAACAAAAAACCACCUCUUUUCCUUGUCACUAAAUUAUUUAUCAUUAUACAAGCACACAUGUACUACAAAAAUUAGGUAAAGGAAGAAGCAACCCACAUAGAUGUCUCAAACUGCUGAGGGUUUUGGUGUAUGGCUUUUUUACAGCUUUUUGGUGAGGGACCAUCUUUCAGCUUUGCCCUUGUGCUAGAACAUACUAGGGAACACUUUUCCAUGAUAAGCUCACUCUUCUGAAGAGUGGUUGAAUAUUUCACUGUACCCAAUGUAUCUUUACUUUUCUGACCUCUUUCUUAAUAUUCAUUUUGUUGUUUCCAGUAUGUUGCAAGUGUAUACAGCCAAUAUAAAUGGAAGUUCUUGCCUCUGCAUGUUUACACAGACAUCAGUGUCUGUACCAGGAGAAAUUCAUACAAGUAGAUGCUGGGUCAGUGUGCAGGUCUCCUUGGCCUCUGGAUCUGUCUUUCCACUGGAAGAGCAGCUGCCCACAGCUCACUGAUCCUUGAGACUGAGGCCAAGCCCAUGUCAAUAGCUUCUCAGAGUCACACAAUUUGAGUUCAAAGUGGGGACAUGUUGGCAAUAGGACCUGGUCCUGCUGAGAACCUGCAAUCUUGAUGGUGACAUCAGGGGCUUUUGUGUGUUAAUAGUGCCAUCCCUUCCCUGACCUGAUCCAGGGUCUCUAAUGCAUCUCUAAAUACCAAAGCCUCAAUAUGCCAAAAGAGCUGCUGUGGGGCUUAAGUCUUCUGUUGUGUGGAUCCUGGGCUGUCCAUAGUGAUGUACUCAGCCAGGAAUGCAUGAGGCACAUGCCUGGCCUGCUUUACUCUGGGAAGCCCCACAAACAACUCCCCUGCUGGGCCAUGUAGUGGCUAUAUCACCUAGUGGUAAUUGCGGAACACCUUCAGCAAAAAUCAUCAGGGAAUGUUGAGGAACAAGAUUUACUCCUGGAGGUUUUGUGGGUGCACAUCCCUCCUGCCCAGGGCCAUACAACCUGGUUGUGGUCAGAGAGGGUAGGAAUGUGAGCCUGGGGCUCUGCCUCUAUGGGGGCAUGGGAGUGGGGGGGGCAGGUCUAUGGCUUCUUUGGUUCACUUUUCAUUGGCAAAUUGAAAGCAUAGGAGUAGGAAUUAGGGUGUUGGAGGGGUGGUCACUCAAAUUGUCACUUGCUAGGUUAUCCAGGGCCUUCCAAAUGAGGAUCUUUUGUGGGGAGGUGCUUUUGGGAUUUAUUUGGGGGUCUUACUGGUGGUUCUAUCACACAGCAGGCUGUAUGUUUAUUGAAGACAAAUGGCUUUGAAAUGGGUGUUACUAUCAGGAUCAUACACUCCAUCAUUGCAAACCCUCAGGACCAAAGUCCCUUUUUUUAAUGAUUUUUAUUGUUUUCCAUUAUACAUUGUUUACAGUGUUCUGUCAAUUUUCUACAGUACAGCAUGGUGACCCAGUUUCACAUACAUGUAUACAUUCUUUUUUCUCCCAUUGUAAUGCUUCAUCAUAAAUGAUCAGACAUAGUUUCCUGUGCUACACAGCAGGAUCUCAUUGCUAAUCCUUUCCAAAGGCAAUAGUCUGCAUCUUUUAAGCACAAGCACUCCAUCUAUCCCACUCCCUCCCCCUUGGCAGAAGCAAGUCUAUUCUCCAAGUCGAAGAUUUUCUUUUUUGUGGAAGUAUUCAUUUGUGGCACAAAUAUCAAGGAUAUCAUAUGGUAUUUGUCUUUCUCUUUCUGACUUAUUUCACUCAGGAUGAGAGUCUCUAGUUCCUUACAUGUUAUUGCAAAUGGCAUUAUGUUGUUCUUUUUUAUGGCUGAGAAGUAUUCCAUUGUGUAUAUAUGCCACAUCUUCCUAAUCCAAUCAUCUGUCAAUGGACAUUUGGGUUGUUUCCAUGUCUUGGCUAUUGUGAAUAGAGCUGCAAUGAACAUGCAGGUGCAUGUGUCUUUUUCAAGGAAAGUUUUGUCUGGAUAUAUGCCCAGGAGUGUGAUUGCUGGGUCAUAUGGUAGCUUAGUGUAUAGUUUCCUAAGGUACCUCCAUACUCUUCUCCAUAGUGGUUGUACCAGCUUACAUUCCCACCAGAAGUGAAGGAGGGUUCACUUUACUCCACACCCCCUCCAGCAUUUGUUCUUUGUGGACUUAUUAAUGAUAGCUAUUCUGAUGGGUGGGAGGUGGUAUCUCAUGGUAGUUUUGAUUUGCAUUUCUCUAAUAAUCAGGGAUGUUGAGCAUCGUUUCAGGUGCUUGUUGGCCAUCUGUAUAUCUUCCUUGGAGAAAUGCCUAUUCAGGUCUUUUUCUCACUUUUCAAUUGGGUCUUUGGCUUUUUUUGCUGUUGAGUUGUAUAAGUUGUUUGUAUAUUUUAGAGAUUAAGCCCUUAUCAGUUUCAUCAUUUGAAACUAUUUUCUCCCAUUCUGUAAGAUGUCUUUUUGUUUUCUUUUUGGUUUCCUUUGCUGUGCAAAAGCUUGUCAUUUUGUUAGGUCCCACUGGUUUAUUUUUGCUUUUAUUUCUGUUACUUUGGGAGAUUGACCUGAGAAAACAUUUUUUUUUUGUCUUUUUGCCAUUUCUUGGGCCACUUCCACGGCAUAUGGAGGUUCCCAGGCUAGGGGUCAAAUCGGAGCUGUAGCUGCCAGCCUACACCAGAGCCACAGCAACGCAGGAUCUGAGCCAUGUCUGCAACCUAUACCACAGCUCAUGGCAAUGCCAGAUCGUCAACCCACUGAGCAAGGGCAAGUAUUGAACCCUCAACCUCACGGUUCCUAGUCAGAUUCGUUAACCACUGCGCCACAACAGGAACUCCAGAAAACAUUUUUAAGGUUGAUGUCAGAGAAUGUUUUGCCUAUGUUCUCUUCUAGGAGUUUUAUGGUGUCUUGUCUUAUAUUUAAGUCUUUCAGCCAAUUUUAGUUUAUUUUUGUGCAUGGUGUCAGGGUGUUUUCUAGUU
RNAcentral lists this long non-coding RNA (4371 nucleotides) under Sus scrofa (pig). RNAcentral describes it as "lncRNA (ENSSSCG00015037686.1)". Lineage: Eukaryota; Metazoa; Chordata; Mammalia; Artiodactyla; Suidae. The record is from RNAcentral.